CAGUCGCCGCGGUAAUACGUAGGUGGCAAGCGUUGUCCGGAAUUAUUGGGCGUAAAGGGCUCGCAGGCGGUUUCUUAAGUCUGAUGUGAAAGCCCCCGGCUCAACCGGGGAGGGUCUUUGGAAACUGGGAAACUUGAGUGCAGAAGAGGAGAGUGGAAUUCCACGUGUAGCGGUGAAAUGCGUAGAGAUGUGGGGGAACACCAGUGGCGAAGGCGACUCUCUGGUCUGUAACUGACGCUGAGGAGCGAAAGCGUGGGGAGCGAACAGGAUUAGAUACCCGUGUAGUCCCUGUCUCUUAUAC
Molecule: ribosomal RNA, 301 nt
Filed under: uncultured bacterium
Lineage: Bacteria
Description: partial 16S ribosomal RNA
Rfam family: Bacterial small subunit ribosomal RNA
Source: RNAcentral